RNAcentral lists this long non-coding RNA (22655 nucleotides) under Vitis vinifera (wine grape). RNAcentral's name for it is "long non-coding RNA (VVIN_LNC001392)". Lineage: Eukaryota; Viridiplantae; Streptophyta; Magnoliopsida; Vitales; Vitaceae. The record is from RNAcentral.
AUGAAAUGUUAAGACUCCAUGUAACUCAAACAUUUCCGCAAUGAGCGGGAGUUCUAAAUUUAAUAAUUGAAAUUGUCAGUGGAACCAGUGGACAAGAGUUGGUUUGUGGUUGACAAACUUAUCCGUUUGAUCUUUACUUGAACAGUUCCAGUGUGUGGAUGGGUACUGAUGAAGUGUGCGCAUUUAUUUUGAGAAGCCUGCUUGUUCGCAUAGAUUUUAACGACAUGAACAUUGUGGUAAGGUUAGAGAGUAAUGCGAAUGUAGGAGCUUAUAUUAGAAAUGACACAAACACGUAAAUAGAAGUAAUCUAUAUAUGAUAUUACUCAUGGACUACAAGCAAAGAAGUACAAUACAUGGAGUAAGUGAUGAAAUGAGCAUUCCUCACUACUACUGCUUGACUGAUGGAACAUGAUGCACGAGAUAGCAUAAGUAGUAGUAGGAAGCAGCUCUUAUUUGUGGCGUCGGUAUACAUCAUACUAGGUAGAUGGUUCAAUUGGCAUGGAUGGGUGGUGGAGCCUUGAAGUGCUUGUGAUGGGGAGCCCACGGCUUCUUCUCAGGAGUUGGUGGCUUCUUGUAUGGAGUUGAUGGAGGUGUUUCUACUGGAGGGUGGCCAGGGUAGUGACCCUGGGGUGGUGAAGGUUCUUUUGUCGGUGGUGGCCUCACUAUUAUUGGCGGUAGAGUUGGUGGCUUGGGCGUUGGCGGUGGUCUCACUACUCUUGGGGGUAGAGUUGGUGUCUUGUGUUUUGGUGGUGGAGGUGGCUUAACAGGAGUUGGUGGCUUGUAUUCUGGGGGUGGUUUCUCCACCGGAGGUGGCUUAUAAACUGGAGUUGGUGGCUUGUAUUCUGGGGGUGGCUUCUCCACUGGUGGUGGCCUGUAAACAGGGGUUGGUGGCUUAUAUUCUGGGGGAGGCUUCUCCACUGGAGGCGACUUAUAAACAGGGGUUGGUGGCUUGUAUUCCGGGGGUGGCUUCUCUACGGGAGGUGGCCUGUAAACAGGGGUUGGUGGCUUCUCCACCGGAGGUGGCUUAUAAACGGGGGUUGGUGGCUUGUAUUCUGGGGGUGGUUUCCCCAGUGGUGGAGACUUGUAAACAGGAAGAGGUGGUUUGUGCUCAUAUGGGGGUGGCUUGUGGUCAUUAGCAAGUGAGGGAGUGGUGAGGACCACCAAUCCAAGGAACAACACGAGUGAGCAAGCAGAAGACAUGUUUGGGCUCUGGUGAUGCACAAGUAGAAGAAAUGGGAACCAUUUAUAAUGCUUCGAGACCUUGGUUAGCACCAAAAUAUGUCAAAAUCUUGAUUACUUCAUUUCAUACAUAGAUUUAAAAUUAUUUCAAUCAACCAUGAUCCUUAAUUUUCUGGGUGGUCCAUAAAUGUAAUGGGGUCAAUUUGGGACCUAACAAGCUGAGAAGUUUGACAAUGCUGCAAGGCUUCAUCCGAAAGUCCGGGGAAGAAUAUUAGGAGUUACACUCCGUUUCCUUUUUUGGGUGCAUUUUUCUCCUUUAACAUUCUAUUCCCUUUUACAUUAGCAUUUGAUCUUAGCUCAUUUCAAGUACAAGUUUCUUGAACCCUAUACCAUUGUCAAAGUUGAGUAACCAUCUCUACUUUGCUCAAGAAACAUAAAAGACAAUGACAAUAAAGAAAAAGGAGAGAGACCAUACGUGACUUGGUUUAUAGGUGGCUUUGUGUUGACAUUUGAGUAUGGAAGCCGACAUGCAUCUUAGCUUCGAUUUUAAUUAAAUUUGUACAUUAGUGUCUGUGUCAUUCAUUUUGGUAUAAAAGGUCUCUUGAUUUCGUAAGUUUGGUAAGAACCGUUGAAAAUAGCAGUAGCAGCACAUGGUCCACUUUCUUUCACAAAAUAAUUUUAAAAGUUUAGAAGCAUAGGAGGUAACAUUAGUGGCCUUGUGGCUCAGCCACGAGUACUAUGUGGUGCUCGAGAAAUUGAGUUUAAUUUCCUUCCGAUAGUUCAUGAUAAGGUCCGUCACUGUCCUGAGACAGAUUGCGUUUUUUCUUUUUUCCUUUUUUAGUGUUUUAUUGACUAGCUAGGUGUGACUUUUCCUACUUUAAGGCACGAGGCAGAAAAGAAACUGGGAUUUAGUGCUUAAGAAGGCAAAUUUAAUUCGAUUUGGAUCUAAAAUUUGCCAGCAACAUGAGAUUUUCCAGCCUAUCGUUGCUCCACAUAUAGACAAGGCACUUGUAGAAGUGGCUUGUUUGUAGCCAUUCCCGAUAUUUGGACUCACUUGAUUCACCGGACACUUUGAUAAAAUUUAAUAUUUAUUAUUUAAUAAUUUAAAUUGAUUUAAAAUUAAAUUAUACCGAAGUUGUGAUUUAAAAAUUAUUAUUUAAUUCUUACUUUUAAAUAUGAAGAUUAUUUGAUAAAAAUAAUUUAAAAUUUAUUAUAAAUUAUCAAAUUAACAUAUUUAUCCUUAUAAAUUAUAAUUAAAACAGAAAAGGUCAAAUGAUUUGAGUAUCCAUAGAUGUGGUAAAAUAAUAAAAAAGAUUAUAAAAACAAUUAUGAUAAAUAAAGAUAAAAAGUAAAAUGAAUAUGUGAAUUUAAAGAAUAAAUUAAUUAUUUUUAUUUAUUACUUAAAAUUAUUUUUGACUUUAAAUUAUAUUAUUAAAUUAUUUUACCAAACAUACUUAAUUUAGUUAAUAAUUUAAAUUUAAUUUAAGUUAUUAAAUUGAUUCACCAAAUACCCACUUAAUCAAAGACUGAAGUAUACAUUAUUUGGCCAAAUGCAGCUAUUGAAAUUUAACUUUUUCCAAACUUAUUCAUUUUGUGGAAAUAUUUUUAGAAAUGAUUUUAAAAAUGCACUAUUCUGUGUGUUGAUUUUAUAUUUUGGCAUUAAUCCAACAUAGAAAACGGUUCUUAUUUUCGCUGUUAAAUAGGUACCAGAUCCUUAAUUAGUGCCGUGAAUCCGGCAGCUUCCAAUGAGUAAUUUGGACUUGGGUAUUGACAAUGUGUGGCCAUGCUUCUACUAUUUUAUUAUUCUUGAAACAUAUAUGAUAUAUUGGACUUUAUACAGGGAAAAAAAAAAAAAAAAGUCUUCACCAAAAAUGAUUCCUCCUAAAAAAUAGACUCCACAAACUAGGUUUAACAGGAAAAUGAUUCUAAUCUAGUAGUUUCCAGCCACAUGAGCAUUUACGUAACAAUAGUAUAGUUGAUAACGACUUUUAUUUUAUUUAUUUUUAAAUAGUUAAAGGGAUAAUUUUUGAGCUUAAAUUUUAUUUUUUUAUUUAGAAACAUUUUACUUUAUUUUUUAAUCAUAAUUCUAUUAUAUUAAUGUUUUAUUUUCUAUUUUUUAAUAUAUAAGGAGAUACUAAAUUUAUGUGAUUAUUUUUUAAAAAUUUAGUAUAUGAAAUUAAAUAAUUGGAUAUAUAUACAUAUAUCAUAUAAUGUUUUUUAAGUGUGAUUUUUGAACUUUUUAGUCAUUUUAUAAGUUUAAGCUUUUGAUUUUUUUUUUUAAACUUUGGUAUUUUUUAUUUUAUAUAAAACUAUUUUGAUUUAAUUUUAUUAAAAAAUAUUGGUAUUAUAAAUUAUUGUAUUAAUUAUUUUUUUAUAUUAUAAUGUAACUGGUAUAUACUAAAAAAUGUAUGCAAGUUCAAUUUAAGUUUCAAAUUAAAAAAUUUCAUUUAAAUAUUUAAUAACUUGUUCAUAAUAAAAAAUUAAACAACAUAAUACAAAUGAAAAGAAACAUAAAAGAAAAAGGAAAAAAUGGUCCUCUCUGUGUGUCACAUUACUAGGUCAUCCUCUUUUUCUAUGACCCUUACAAUAGAAUGGCAUAUUUGUCAAAUCUACUUAUGAAAGUUGGAAUGUUUCUACAUGUGUAGGGUCCAUUGGAACUAAUGGAGGAAAGGCUUAACGUCUAUGUAAAUCACAACGUUGCCUAGGUGGGCAUAGAUCUAGUUGUGUAACAUGAGAUGGUGUGAGAGUACAAUAUAUGCAUUGUAGUCUCUAUGGGAAGAGAGAUAGGUAAUGGUAGGGUGGUAGACGGUAGGGUGAUCUCUAAUAUAAUGACAUUUGAUGUGGUGGCUUCUAAGAGAGGAGAUAUAAGAGAUGGUAGAAUGACAUUUGGUGUAAUGGUCUCUAGUGCAAUGACAUGUGAUAUGGUGACCUAUAAAGAAGAGAUAUAGGUGAUGGUGAAGUGGUAUGUGGUGUAGUGACCUUUGAGAUAGAAAAUAGAGGUAAUGGUAGGUUGGCAGGUGGAGUGGUCUUUGGUGUAGUGACAUCAAUUAUAAAUGUCUCCAAGGGAGGAAAUAAAGGUGAUGGUAGGUAGUAAAUGUUGAGGUGGUCUUUGAUAUGUUAUGCUCUAAGAGAGAAGGUAUAGGUAAUGAUAAUAGGGAAUUUGACAUAGUGGUGUUGGAAAUAAAAAGUGAAAGUGACCGUAGAGGUGAAAGGGCAAGUGUAAAAGCCUCAAGUACGAAUGGAGUAAUUAAUGUGGAUGGUGCUAACAUAGUCUUAGGUGGAUACACAAAUAGUCAUAGUCAUCAACUAGCUUGCCCACCAUCUGUCUUUCUGCUAGUGAUAGGUUACAUCUUAAUAGUAAUGGCCAACAUAAGUGGUGUGGAUCCGAUUUUUUUACGUGUGUCCCCACUCAAUCGACAAGACUUAUUUUUUAUUAGUGAAAAAUUAAUUUUGGAAAAGUUGGAGUCACCACUUAUUUUAUUUUAUUUUAAAAAGGAAAGUAAAACAAGAAAGAGAACUCUAAAGAAGUGACUUCAUAGUUUUGGAAAAGUUAGUCUUAAAAAAUCCAAGUCUUGGUCCGGAGAUCAGGUUACUUAUUGGGAAGAUACCUCUAAGAGGUAAUACCCCUCUAAACCCUAAAGAAGUCUCUAAUGACUAAGUUGAGGAGAAUGUGGUAAUUAAUUAAUUGAUUGAGGGUACCUAGGUAGACUAAGGUGAUUUCAGAAUUAACAUACCAAGCUAGAAAGUCCAAUCAUGAUCAUAAAAGAGAGUCAAAGUAUGUACCUGAACUGCUUCUCAAACGCUAUCAUAAAACAUCAAAGUUAGUAUAGAAAUAUAACACAUAAUAUUUGUUUUAUCCAAGCAAAUAAAGCAUACAUCUAAGCACCCAAGAAUCACAUCAAGUAUGGAUAUAGUCAUCAAUAGCAUACGUGUCCAUAGAACUAUCGAAAGUAAAUGUGGAGGAGCGUAUCUGGACAACAUAGAUAACUUAUAAUGUGCUUCCACAAGACAUGGGGGUUAGAUAAAAGUUAUAAUAAUAAUUAGUAAAUGAAAGAAUUCUAGCAUGUUUGGUAUCUAAAUAACAUAGCAAAAAUGAACAAGAGUACACGAAAACAUCAAUUAUCACACGAGUCAUAUUGGCUAGUAUUUAAUCAAUAAACCAACAAUAAAUGACUAUAAACAUAUAAAAUGACAUAUUCAAAGAGACCCAAACAUAAAGAGCCUAGAACACAAGCUUACACUAAAUUUAGAAAACUAAAACAUGGAAUUUUAAAAGCAUAAAUUAGCAAACAAAUUGAUGGAAACUAAAUUUAGAUAACUUAAGAAUAUUUUUCUUAUCCUUCAAUUUAAAUCAGUAAGCCAACAAUAAAAAAUUAUAGAAACAUGGAAUAUCAAGAUCAAUGGGAUACCUAAACUAUAAUUUUUAAAAGAAAAUAAACUAAGCAUAAUAUCUACAAAGCAACUAAACUAACAUUUUUUUAAAAAUAAAUUAAACAUGACAUUAAUGGAGUAACCAAACUAAAUUAAAGUAAACUAAAAACAUUUAUGAAUUUUCAAACAUGGAAUCAGCUUUCUUAGUAAAUUAAAAUUAUUAAAAUAAAAUCUAAGCUUAAAAAUGAAUUAAAUACUAACUAAAGCAAAUCUAAAACCAAAUAUUUAACACAUAGGAUCAAUUAUAUUAACAAACUAAAAUUUUAUAAGAACACUUAAACCUAAAGUUGAAUUAAAAACUAACCAAUUUUUAAAACUAGAUCUUUAACCCAUAGGAUCAAUUAUAUUAACAAAUAAAUAAUAAAUAAUAAAUAAAUAAAACUCAAACCUAAAGAUGAACUAGAAAUGUACCAAAGUAAAUUCAAAACAAGAUCUUUAACACAUUAGAUCAAUUAUAUUGACUAACUAAAAAAAAAAAAAAAAAACACUCAAACCUGAAACGAUGUAUUAGAAACUAACCAAAGCAAAUUUAAAAUAGAGUCUUUAACACAUAGGAUCAAUUAUAAUCACUAACUUAAAUUACAAUUUUUGAAACAUGAACUAAUUAGUGUUGGAUUAAUUAAACUAAUUAACUAAAAAAAACUAUAAACUAGAAUACGGUGAAUCAAGAAUUCAAAUCAACAAACAUAAAAUAUGGGUACAAUGAAAUGAAAAUCUAUUAAACUAAUAAGACGGAAAUAUGACAAACUCAUGAACCCACAUUUUGAUCAACUAGGAAAUAGAAAUUAAUAGACCUGUAGCAUGGAUACAAUGAAAUGAGAUCAGUUAAAUUUAUUUGCCGAAAUUCUAAAAAACACAUACACUCAAAUAAGAUCUAAAUCUAAGACCAAGCAAAACUCAAACUUUCUCAAUCUAAUGCAAUGAAUCAAAACUAAAAUUAAAUAGAAAUCAAACCAUUUUUUUUUUAUCUAAUAUAAUAAAUCAAAGCUAAAACUAAACAAAAUCGAAUUUUCUUAAUUUAAUAUGAUGAGUCAAAGCUAAAAUUGAACAAAGUUCAAACCUUUAUAUAAUGGAUCAAAGUUAAAUCUAAAUGAAAUCCAUACUUCCACAAUUUGAUAUAACAAAUCAAAAAUAAAACUAGAUAAAAAAAAAGUCAAAGCCUUUCAACUUGACAUAGUGAAUCCAAACUGAAACGAAACAAAAUUUUAACUUUUCCAAUGAAACCCAAUAUAGAAAAAAUUAGCUUACCUUCUUUAGAAUAUAUGUAUGGGCCAUAAAGAAGUCACCUUGGUGCAUGUGUUCCUCACUUUGACGCCAAUGGACGACUUUCUAUGGUAGCAAAUGGAGAUCCUUUUUGGUGGUAACUUGCGUGUGGAAACCUAUGGUACAACCAAUGUCAUCUUUUAUUGUGCGUGUGGACCAAUUUCUUCUCGAGAACUCAUGUGUGUUGUGCUCAAAAUAUGUUGCCUGUGAGAAUCUAUUGGUAUACCCCACAUAUGGUUUCCUUGAGAGAAUCUGUGGUUGUGUGUGGGCGUUUUCUUCAUGACAGCAUGUGGAUGUUCCCAUCUAUGGUAGAUUGGUUGUGAUGCUUUAGUGCAUGGUCUCCAUAGGAAUAGUGUGUUAUGGAAAUUUGGUUUUUUUAUUGGUGCAUGUUGUCUAGACUUUCCCAUAUGCGUGGACUGUGUGUUCAUGCUUUUCUUUUCGGAUGGUCGCCUGUGUUAAUGUGUGGCGGUGUCUACAAUGAAAGAUACAACCCUUUCUCUCCUUCUGCGUGAUAGAAAAGUCAAUCCCCCAUGGUGCGACUAUGUUCCCUCGUCCUUUUUGAAAAAUUUUGGUGUUUUCCCCCCAAAAAAUCCCCUCCAAAAAUCUAAUUAUAAAUGUCUGCUUUGGCCUAAUGUGUGUGCUACUUUUUUUUUCCUUCUUUUUAUGGUUGUGCGUGCUUUUCUUGAUACGUGGCUUAUUUCUUAAGGAUAUGAUUCGCUCCCAAUUGGUGUCUCAGCUGAUUCAUGUCCUUUCAAUGGUCCCUGACAGUGGUGCCAUUUGAUUCGUGUCCAGCUGGUGUCCCUUGAUUGUGGUCCUCAGAAGGGAGUAAUCAAUAAAAUUUAUAACCUAUUACACCAUGUAUUAGGAUAGCCUUAGCUAGCAUAGCAUAGUGGCUCUAGGGUCGUUUAUUGGGAUGAGUUUUCACUUCACAAUUGAUAUUAAUUCAAGAGCUGAAUUGGUGCCUUUUCAUUUCAAGGUUAGCUUUAAAAGAAAACAUAAUCUUUGGUGGAAAAAGGUUUGGUUUUAAACUAACCAAAAAUAGUAACUGAUUUUACUUACAAAGAAAAGUGUUCUUUGGAGUUUAGAUCACUAGGCUCAGGUUCCUCAUACAAAAAGGAGAGUUCCGAUCAUUUGUUUCUUUUCCUCGCAUUAGAGAAUUAACAUAUAGUUAAUUCUCUAACCGGUGCGGUACAUAUGCUUCCCAUUAAUGGGUUCAAACACUAAAUACCUCUCACUGAUGCACCUUGCAAUGGCUCGUGCCUCUCACCUAGCAUUUAUCAUUCAAGGUGAUCUUUAACCUUGGAUUACCCAUCAAAAGCUCGCAAGAGAUAACUAAAGGAUGUCUCCUUAGAGUCCAAAAGCUUACCAAGUGUUGGUUAUUCUAGAAAAUCCUACCUUCAAACCACCUCCCAAAGGCUCGCAAGAGAUAAACAAGUGCAUCUCAAUGGAUGAAGAUCACUUGCCUUACCAAGUUUUGGCCCAGAUGAUUUAAUGACAUUUUAAGUUAACUAAAAAGAUAAAAACCAUUAACGGGUCACACUUUCUCUUCAUUAAAAACUAAAACAACAAAACUUCCAAUUUAUGCAUGAGGAAACUUACCUGGCUUUCUUCACUUCAAGAGAUGAAGAGCCUAGCCACUCAUCAUUUGAGGAAAAAUCCUCAGAGUUUGAUUUGCUAGAAAUAAAAAUAAUGAGAAAACAAAAAUAUAUAUAUGAAAAACAGAGCAAGUUCUCUGUAAUAUAUUUUUCUUCCUUAUACAAAAGGUUGUCUCUAAGAACAAGUUCCCGAGAUCUAUCUGAUUGUAAAUAAAAUUACAACUAUAUAUAAGAGGUUAUUCACCCCUUUGUUCUUUCUUAAAGACUAAGGAAUCCUAUGAUAGGUGGGUUACAAGGAGAGUUUGGGGAUUUAGACAUCAAAUAUCUAAAGCAAAAUAUCUCAAGAUGUUAGUCGGAAAUAUCAGGAAGCUUCAGGAGAACACCGCGACACUGUAUACUGAGAGAAAAACUCUCCGGGUAAGCUCUAUCAAAGGAUCCAGACAUGUCUGACUGGGAAAGUUGAAACGUCCUUCUCUCCCAUCCGGAUGUGAGAUAUCCGGAGAAAGUGAAAUGUCGGUCGGACAGAAUUCUUUCCCCGGGUGGAAUGAGUUGUGUUGCGCGUCGCAAGGGGGACCGUCUGCGUGUACAAGUUGUAGGGACCCCUCUCCCGGAUGACACCGAGCGCGUAAGGCUAUCCGGAUCAACUCCAUUCGGAUUCCCCAAGAGGACAUGUGGCGUGCUCCCCUAUCAGGACUCCCUUAGGGAGAAGCACACGACACUCGUGAACAUCAUACCCGGACGAUAGCAUGUCCUAUCCGGAUGUGUUGUCCGGAUCAUUGACUAAAGUGAGCAAGCCUUGCUACGUCAUUCGGACAGCUUGCCACAUACCAUGUUCCGUCGCCAUCUGAUGGUGUGUCCGAACGCCUUGUCCGGACAUCUUUUGCUCCUUGCAUUCCGGAUUUGCUUAUGACAAAGGACUUCAAAGCUUCGGUUCUUCAUGUUUCUGAGCUUUCCAUUGCUUUGCCAUGGAUUCCAAAGAACUCUCCUUAAUCACGGAUUGCUUUGGUGAUCAAAAAGUUAUCAAAACACAAAAACUUAACAUAGUUUGAUUAGAAUUGAUUGCAAGGGUUCUUAAUAUGUUAAUUGGGUUAAAAGGUGAUAACUACUACUCAAAAGUGUUUAUAAGAAUUAAUUACAAGCUAUGAAAUAACACUUUUUGAGUAGUAAUCAGGAUACAUCCUAGUUUUUCAUGGAAUUGAUAGUGGGUUGUUGUGCAUGAAUGCCACCAUUUCAACUAUGCUGUUGUUAUUUUUAAAAAAAAUAUGGAUUAUGCGCGAGUGGCAAUUCUCCACUAUGGAAAGUGGAUUGCUCCUUCAACCCAUGCAUGGCUACGUAUUCCUAUGUCUUUCUACUUGUGUUUGAUCCUCCAAAAAAAAUUUCGGUUUAGUGCUAGUAGAUUUUAAGUGGUGGAUCCCCAUUUUUUGAAAAUGAAGUGGCAGCCUCCCAUUUCAAGACAAAAUGGUAGCCUGCCUUUAAUCUUUGGAGAAAAAUCUGUGCAUGACCUUUUUUUUUCCCAAAAAAUCCGUGCAUGGUGUCCUUUAAUAUUUGGAGAAAAAUCUAUGUUGGAUCUUUUCUUUUCUAGAAACAUUUGUGUGGUCUUUUUUGUUAGCCCAAGGGUUCUUCUAAUCAAGUUUUGAUGAUAACAAACCAUGGUUAAGUGACUAAUUGGUUUAAUGAUUAAGAAUCUCAAACAUAAAAUCGAAAAUUCAUCAAAGGACCAAAUGGAUACAAGAUCGAGACGCUUGGAAGACUUGUAAUCAUAGGAAACUAAUGUAAGAUGAAUGCAUGAGUGCACUUAGGAUUUUCACACGUUUCAUGCAACUUAGAAAACCCAGUUUAUUCUUUAAAACUUCAUCCCAGUUUAUUCUUUUUAUGGUUGUGUGUGCUUUCCUUGAUACGUGGCUUAUUUAUUAAGGAUACAUCCCAGUUUUUCAUGGAAUUGACAGUGGGUUGUUGUGUGUGAAUGCCACCAUUUCAACUGUGCUGUUGUUAUUUAAAAAAAAAAAAAAUGGAUUGUGCGCGAGUGGCAAUUCUCCACUAUGGAAAGUGGAUUGCUCCUUCAACCCAUGCAUGGCUACGUAUUCCUAUGUCUUUCUGCUUGUGUGUGAUCCUCCAAAAAAAAUUUUGGUUUAGUGCUAGUAGAUUUUAAGUGGUGGAUCCCCUUUUUUUGAAAACUAAGUGGCAGCCUCCCAUUUCAAAACGAAGUGGUAGCCUGCCUUUAGUCUUUGGAGAAAAAUCUGUGCAUGACUUUUUUUUUCCCAAAAAAUCCAUGCAUGGUGUCCUUUAAUAUUUGGAGAAAAAUCUAUGUGGGAUCUUUUAUUUUCUAGAAAAAUUUGUGUGGUCUUUUUUGUUAGCCCAAGGGUUCUCCUAAUCAGGUUUUGAUGAUAACAAAUCAUGGUUAAGUGACUAAUUGGUUUAAUGAUUAAGAAUCUCAAACAUAAACUCGAAAAUUCAUCAAAUGACCAAAUGGAUACAAGAUCGAGACGCUUGGAAGACUUGUGAUCAUAGGAAACUAAUGUAAGAUGAAUGCAUGAGUGCACUUAGGAUUUUCACACGUUUCAUGCAAUUUAGAAAACCCAGUUUAUUCUUUAAAACUUCAAUUUCAUUAAAACCCGAGUUUUUAACUAAUGUACCUUAGGCAAAAUGUUUUAUAAUUGGCUUAAUAAUUCACCUAAAUACAUUUUCUAAGUGUUAGAAAAGAAAGGAAUUAAAAAAAGGUUUUCGGGGCAAAAAAGGCUCAACCGGUCGAGGCUAUGGUCAACCGGCUCAACCGGUUGAGGAACCAAUCGAUCGGUUGUGCUUGUCCGAUCGAAGACCAAUCGAGGGAUGCCAAAAAAUUUCUCUCUCUCCUAGUGGCCUUCUCUUCCCGGUCGAGGUUCGGUCUAGGCAACGGUAACAUGUCAAGCAUUAAAUGCUCCGACGACUAGUGAAUCGGUCGACCCCUAGCCCGAUCGGACGAGGUUGCCUUUUGCUGUUUUUGACUCCCGAGCUUAGAAACCUAUAAAUUGAGAGCUCCACUUCAUUUAUUGAUAAAAGAGAACACUUGCAUUCAAUAGUCUACCUACCUUUUCUUGAUCAAAAAGCUCUCAUUUCCUUCAUAGUGCAUUAAAUCAUCACUUGCAUAUCCUUUAGUGCACUAUUGUGUGUCAUCCUAGCUUUGUUUUGUAUUUGAGCUAUCCUUAAGCUAGGUUGAGGGAUUAUUUCUUAUAAAAAUCUGAGUGUUAAAGCCUUCAAGAGAUUUGAAUCUUGAAGAGAUUGUGUAAGAGCCCAUUGGAGCCGGAGUCCAAGUGUAAGAAGAUUGGAAGCUUGGUUGAAGCUUCAAGUUAGUGGAACCCUCACUCGGUUAGGAGGUUGAGGAGAGUGGACGUAGGUAAGGAAGUGUCGAACCAUUAUAAACCCGAGUUUGAAUUCUCUAACUCUAUCUCUUUAUUUUGCUUAUAUUGUGUUUGAAUUUGUUGUGAUUGAAAAGAUUUUAAAAACCUAAUUCACCCUCCCCCCUUUUGGGUUUUUUUUUCUUAAUUAAGCAUAACCUUUGUUUUCUAAUUUUCUUUUUAGGAAAAUCCAUGCGUGGUAUGUCCAAACUCUCCAAGUGGCAGUCUGCCUUCUUCUAAAAAAUUUGUUUCUAUUUCUUUAUUCGACUACCUUCCAUGUCUUCCUAAUGAGUGCUUGUGCUCAAUGGUCAAUCCCUGGUGGUUGCCUCCUUUUCCCAUAUAUACGUGUUGCAAAAUCAACAUCCCACUAUAUGUGGGUUGCCUCUAUGGCAAGUUCACAUUUCCCACAUGAAACCUAUGAGUUUCCACCAAAAAUUGCCAUGAAAAAGUCUUUAUAUGCAUCUCAUGCAAUAAAAAGUCAAGCCAAUACUCAUCUUAUCUCGAAAAAUAAGUAACCAAAAUCAAGAUCAUGCCUAAGUGAACUAUGCCAAAAGAAGUGUCCAAGUGACCUAUUAUGAAAAAAGUGCCUAAGUGACCUAAGGUGAAUGUGUGUAAGCUGGAAGGUGUCUAGGAUGUUUAGGACAAUGCCUAAGCCUAAAAUAGGGUUGCCAAGGGUCACAAUGGGGUUAGAUAAAUCUCUCAAUCAGAGUCUCCAAGGUGGCUCAUAAAAGAUAAGCUACACGAGUAAUGAUGGGCCACCAGGGAAUUAUUGUAAAGCACCAAACGAACACAUAAUAGGACAUGUGUUAGAAUGAAAAAAUGGAGGGUUUACAAGUGGUCUCAUGGAUGAGCUUGAUAAUUUAAAUGACUCACAUAAUGAACGUAUGUGAUGUUUCUCUCCAAUAACAAGCAAAACAUCACUAGCAAUAUGAUGAAUGUCUCCUAAAUCACUUGAAGUAGUCCUAGCAAAUCAAUUAGAAAAAUCACACAUAUUGCUCUAAUGUAAUAUUAUAUACAUCUGUCAAUGAAUGGGAGAACUAAUGACACAACCAUCAUGUUGAUAUCUCGAACCCUCUAAUCUCAUAUGUAGGUGGGAUCACACUUAGAAACUCAUAACACAGUAAUGACCAAUCUAAGUCAAAAUGUGUUGGUGAUCGGAGGCCCAUGAAUAUGAAGUUCUAGGAUGAUAAUGACAUCUUAUAAAGUAAUGAUCAUCUCCUUAAUAGAUAGGUGAAAUGUGUGUGUCUUAGGACACCAUCUCUCAACAAGACUUGUGAUCAAUCCCCAGUCUAGUGUAACAUGCCUAUUAUGACAUCCAUCGUAAAAUCUAGACUAGAUAAUAUAAGGACAAAUGUGAGGGUUCAUCUCCCUUUCCCACAUAAAUUUAAAAAAUUAUUAUUGACAAGUUAAGACCAAACUAAGUUGCAAAAUAUAAAUAAGUCCAUUAGAUAACAAAUUUAUGUUUUCUCAUUUUCUCAUUUUUAAAGAGAUAUUAUGUGCUUCCAUGUACAUACAUGCUAAAGUCAAUUAUACGAGACUUAUAUCCAUCUUGUAGAACCAAAUCGAACCUAUCUAAUAGAUCCAGAUUAGAAGUAUGUCCUCUAUACUCCAUAUUUAUAACACAUUUAUAAAGAUAAAUGCUAAAAAAAUGUUAAAGAUAUAAAUUUAAUGAACCAUACUUUAUGAUUUUAAUUCUCAAUUAUUGUUCAUAUUUAUAAGAGAAAAGUUAAAAAAAUUGAUAGAGUUUUCCCUCUAUCAUGGACAUUAUCCCAAAUAAAAAUAAAUUGAUUAUGCAAAUUACAUUAAUAUUUGUAACCAAAUGAUCAAUAACUAUCUUGUAUCAAUUUAGUAAAUAAAUUUAAGUAUAUCUUUUCAUUUAUGACUAACAAAUAACUCAUACUUGUCCAAUAAAAGCCACACCUAAUUUCUAAAAUUUUGUCUUCACCUCAAGUGAGUGUUACAUUGAGAAAGAAAAAAUAUGAAAGAAAAAAUGAACACCUUUUUCUUUUAAUAAAAAAAGGCCAUAACGAAACAUUAAAUCUCACUGUUACACCUAUCUUCAAUGGAAACAUGAGGAUGUGAAUGGUGGCGGUGAUAUUCUUUGCUUGAAGCUCAUAAACAAAUAUUCCUUACUAAGCCUAUGCCAUUUAGUAUUUCAAUAGUGGACCCCCCCCCCCCCCCCCCCCCCCUCCUUGCAUUUCAGAUUUAGCAAACUUAGAACCAAAUAACAAAGUGCAUUUGAACCCAUAAAGAAGUAAUGAGACUCUCCUAUAUUGGCAAUAGAAGAAAUUUUUGGAGGUAUAGGAGAUUCACGGAUGAAGAAGUUGGGCCCCAAUUGAGAUAAGACCCAAGAAAAGAUGGGGUAGAGAGGGAUGGUUGGAAAUUGUAAAGUAAGAUUUUCAAAAUGUAGUUGAUGACUAAGAUUUUGACAAUUUAAAAAAGGUUUAAAAAUGUAGUUAGCAAUCGGGGUUUUGUAACAUUUAAAAAAUAAAAUAAAAUCUCAGGCCACAUGGUAGCCCAUGUGAUUCAGAAGCUUGAGAAUUAUUUUAUAAGAAGACUUAAUUUGUGAUUUUUUUAUAACUAUAUUAUUUUUUUUCUUAACACACGAAAAAAAUUAUGAAAUAAGACAAUUUUCCUAAGAAAGCAUGUAAGUGACUCUUGGUUAUUUUAUUUAACUUCUUCUAGUUUGGAGAGGAUUAAUACCUUUGCUUUUACUCACUUGCUUGGAUAUGUACACGUUGUUCAUGUCACUUUUCAUUUAAUUUUCUGAUUAAGGGAAUUGGAACCGUACGUAACUGUCUUUAUUCCCUCUGAAACUUGGACUUGGAGUUGGACUUUCAAUCUCAUCAGUCGUGUUUCCAUAAAAAAGAAGAUGGAUUAACCAAUUUUCCUAUGCCUACUAAUCAUACACAAAACUCCACUUCCAAAUAAAAAGGAAUGGGAUAUCACUUGUUAAUAGUGGCUAAAGACUAUUAAUAACCAUGCAAAGAAAUGUCACAUUUUUUGUUCUACGCAAAUUUUAUUCAUCAACUACUAGAACCAUUUCAUACAAUAGUAGCUUUUCGAUCCUUUGAUAAAUGGACACUUGAUGUGAUAACACCAACUACACCUAUAUAUUCAAGCAAUCAUGCGUAUAUAAUAGUGGAUAUGGAUUACUUCUCUAAAUGGGCAAAAGUUUUGUCAUUCAAGGAAAGUGAACGAGGAAACACAAGUUUACUUUCAUCGGAACUAAUAUUAUAUAUUGAUAUGACUUCCCAUUAUUACUUACGAUGGAAUAUGCUUCCAUAAAAUGGCCUAGAUGAACAAACUAUCCAAGAAGUUUGGGAUCAAAUAAUAUAUAUAUAGUUCAUGUGUGAUUCUUUGGUUGACAACCUUGUUAAGGGGUGAGUGAAGCACUUUGGGCAUACCACAUACUACAUGCUAGACUUCCACCCAAGCUACCCUAUAUUCCUUAUGAACAAAGUAGAAGUUGUCAUCUCUCUUGAAUACCAAAUCCUUUCACCUAAUAAUGCUAUCUAAAAAGGUCUUAAAAAGGAUAAAAAUGCGCAUAUUUGAAUUUUUGAAUUAGGAGUGCUACUUAAAAAGAAGCUAGAUAUACAAUAAUAGAAUGUUAUCAAGCAUAUCUCUUCAAAGUUUUUGACCAAAAAAUAUAUGAUUUCUCAUUUUAGGUAGGAGACUUAGUACUCACUAUUCAAAAACCAAUUAUCAUUACUCAUAAAAACUAAUAGAAAGUUUGGGCCAAAGUAGGAUGGACCUUAUAUUAUGCAACAAUUAUGCCUAUAAAAUUGUUGCAAAAGAGGUUUUAGAAUCAAAUCAAUGAAUGAAAAAUUAUUAAAGCAUUACUAUGCUUGAAGGCUAGUCAUUUUCCCUUAAAGUGCAAUAUUAAGUUGCAUAGUACUAUGUGGAUCCGCAUUUUUCACAUGCGUUCCCACUCAUUGUCGAGACUCACUUUUUAGAAGUGAAAAAUUAGUUUUAUUAAAGUCGAAGUUGCCACUGGGGAUUUGAACCCUAACAAAAGGUUCAAUUUAAGGAUAAAAAUAUCGAUAAUCACAUAUAUAUAUAUUGGUACUUUGAUUUUAUGAAUAUAUUGAAGAAAUAUGGACAAAUAUUUUGACACAAAAUAUGUACAAAAUAAAAAUUAUAUAAAAAGUAAAAAUAAAUAUUUUAAAAUUAUUUUUUUAAAUAUAUAUAUAUAUAAUUUGACAUAUUUGAUAAUAAUAUAUAAGGGUCUCCAAAAAGCCCGUGGCCCGCUUUAGGCCCGGUCCGACCCGACAGGCUAAAGCCCGGCCCAAGCCCGCCGGGCCCAAGCUCGGCCCGAGCCCGUUUAUGGGUGGGCCGGGCCGCGAGCCCGUAGGCCUGCUCCUUUAAAAAAAAACUACAAAAAUAAAAAGUAUUAAAAAAAAUAUUCAUUUCAAAAUUUUAUUCAUUGAAUGUAUAAUUACAUUUGAAAAUGUGGGAAAAGUUUACAUCACUACAAAAUAAAUACAUCCCAACUAGGUUGGCACCUAUUUAUUUGUCAAUCAUCUGUAUUUUUCAACCACAAAAAAUAAAAAUAAAAAUAUAAUAUACAUUUAGUCAUUAUUUUCUGGCGGUGAUGGCGAACUAUCAUGCAUCCAUGAAGAUCUUGAUAAUUUUAAAGAUUCCAUAUCGGUAAGCAUCUUUGUUUCUCGAAUGGAAUCAUACAUCCUUUUAUCUGCUAUUUCCCAAUCUUUCACACAUAUCCCUGCUUUAAUAACAUCUGACGCUAAGUUGCAUCGUUUUUUACUAACUACUCUUCCACCUGCACUAAAAGCAGCUUCUGAUGCAACUGUACUCACAGGAACUGUUAGUACAUCACGAGCAAUUAUAGAAAGCACAGGAUAUUUGUGUUGAUGUGAUUUCCACCAUAUUAAAAUAUUAAAAUCUUCUUGAUCUUCAAAUGAAAUUAUAUCAGUAUUAAGAUAUUUAUCUAAAUCAGAUGUAUUAUUUGGAGAAUUAUUUGUUGUCUUUUUUCGACUUUUCAACAUUUCUAGAGCUCCUUUAUAAAAAGAUGAGGAGUUUGUAGAUGUAGGUGGUAAUUUAAUAGUAUUAAUAUCAUUACCAUAUUUUUCUUUAUAAUAGUUAUAUAAAUUAUAUAAUAAUGAAUUUAUUUCAUUUUUAAUUUCUUCAAUUUUUAUUUGGUCAUUAAAAUAAAUAAUUGUUAACCAUUCAUCCAAAGCUUCAAAUUUCAAUCUAGGGUCCACAAUUAAAGCAAUAUAAAAAAUUAAAGGUAUUUCUCCCCAAUAUUUUCUAAAUUUUUAUAUCAUUACAAAUAUUGUAUCAUUAAAUAUUUCAAAACUUAAAUAUUUUUGAAGUACAAUAAAAAUAUUAGUUAUUUGCGUAAUAACUCGAUUUGAAGUUGGAUAAUAUACACCACAAAAAAUGUUUGUUGAAGUAUCAAAAAUUUCAAAAAGAUCUCUUAAAACAUCCGCAAUAUGCCAAUCAUAAUCAUUUAAUGCAUAAAUAUCUGCUUCAUAAUCAUUGUUAAUUAAUUGUAUUUCAUAUAAUUCGACUACUUUUCUAUAUUUUGUAAUAUUUUCUAAAAGUUUAUAUGUGGAAUUCCAUCUAAUAGCCAUAUCCAAAUUUAUAUUUUUUCUUUUCAUAUUUAACAUUUUGCAACAAUCAAAAAAUAAUUCAUGUUUUGCUUGAAAACUAUUAAUACUAUAUGCAAUGCCUCUAAUUUUUUUCCAAUGUACUAUCAACAUUUUUUAAUCCAUCCUUUACAAUUAAAUUUAAAAUAUGUGCACAACAACGCACAUGAAAUAUUUUAGCAUGAUCUUCUUUUACUUGCCAAUAUCGUUUUAGUCUAUGUAUUGCUGCAUCAUUAUUAGCAGCAUUAUCUAAUGUUAUUGUCAAUAUUUUAUCACGAAUGCCUAAAUCUAUAAUUUCAUCAUUUAUUAAAGAUGCUAUAUUUUUACCACUAUGUGGAGUAUUUAUUAAUUUAAAUAAAAUUAUUCUUUUAUUUAAUUUCCAUUCAUUAUCAAUGUAGUGAACAAUUAUAUAUAAAAAACCAGUAUGAGUUAAAGAUGUCCAAAUGUCAGAUGUUAAACGAAUAUUUCCUUCAAAAUUUGCAAAAUUUUUUUUUAAAAUUUCUUUUUGUGUAUAAAUUUUUUUCAUAAUAUCUCUUUUAACUGUAUUUCCAGAUCAACCUUUAAAUUGAGGAUUAAUACCUCGUUGAAUUGUUCUUGCAAAAUCAUGAGUUUCCAUCAUGUUGAAAGGUUGUUCUGCUCUUAUUAUAUAAUCAAUCAUUUCUUCACAACAGUUAGAUUCAUCAUAAGAAAAUGUUUUUAAAUUUCCACUUUCAUUUUUACUUAAUUGCAUAUAAUUUCUAAUAUCUACAUUAUUUUUAGUUUUACAAUUUUCAUGAUGUCUUUUUAAAUGACUUGUAUCUGCAUUUGAGCCACCAGUAAGAAAUUUAUUACAAAUUUUACAUUUUGCUUUUAUUUUUUUUUUAUUAUUUUCUAAAAUUAUUUCUAUUCUAUCAAAAAAAUUCCAUAUAUUUAAAGUAAAUUUUUUGUUUGAUGAUAUUUCAUCACAUGGACUAGACGAAGAAGCACUUGUCAUAUUAUAAUUAUUGAUAAAAUAUUAUGCCAAAAAUAAUAAAGUAAUAAAUAUAAAAAAAAAUGUAACAAAAAAAAUAAAGUAGUAGGGGUGAAGUAUGUUACUCAAUUAGAGAACCUAUGCAGAAAUUCCUAGCAAAUUUGAACUCUUGGAGCCACCAAUGCUUGUUUUGCACCAUCAACAAUAUUGUAUAAUUUGAGGGAAAAAUAAAAGAAUUUAAAAUAUUGUAGAAUGUGAGAGAAAUAGAGAGAAUUUGAUGAAAAAAUGAAAAGGAAGAAAAUGUAUUUAUAGGAAGGUUAAAAAUAAUAAUAAUAAUAAUAAUAAUAAUAAUAAUAAUAAUAAUAAUAAUAAUAAUAAUAAUAAUUGGCCAUGUGACCGUUGGAGGCUUAGCUCCAACGGUCACAUGGGCUGGAGCUAGGCUCCAACAGUCACAUGACCGUUGGAGCCUUUAAUUUUUUUUUUUAAAAUAAUAUACUUUAUUUUUAUAUAUAUAUAACUAACUCAAUUAAUAAACAUAAAAAGAAUAUAGUUCAGUUGGUUAGAACCUUGAAGUUUAAACAUGAGGGGAGGGGUUUGAAUCCCUCCCUCUCCCUUAGGGGCUUUUUUAAAAGCCAUUUUGGCUUAUUUCAAAAAGCCUGUCGGCCCGACCCGCCCUGCAGCCCGCGGGCCUAGCAUUUUAGCAUGGCCUGGUCUGUUGACUAGUCAAAUGGCUCAUAGGCUCGGCCCGAACUGGGCCGCGGGCCUCUUAUUUACGGACCGGCCCGACCCGGCCCGCCCGUUGGAGACCCUUGAUAAUAUCUUCUAUAUUAAGUUACAUUAUAGUUUAUUUUACAAUAUUAUUAUGAUAAUAUGUCUAAUUUUAAAAUAUAUUUAAUAUUAAAAUUAUGAUCUAUUUUAAUUUAAAUGUAUUCAAUGAUAUCAAAUAAAUAAUAAUAUAUGUAUAAUUCUUUUAUUAUUUAUAUUUAUUAUUUUUAAUAAAUAUAUAGAUUAUAUAAAAAAGACCGGAUAUAUCUUUUCAAAUUUUGUAUCGCUCUCCAAGGAUAUUAGAUGUAUGGGAAUUUGUAUUGCUAUCUACGGAUACGUUGAUAUAUGGGUGAUUUAUCAGGAUAAUUAGAAAUUCUAAUUAUGUAAGCAGGUACGGAGUUCUGUGUCGGUGCGAUCUUGUCGACAACAGCUCCAAAUUGUGCAUCUUGCUCAUAGAGAGUAGCGGAAUGCACCAAUCGUAGGCUCAGAGUACCACUGAGUCGUCUGGCAGAGACCCAACUGAAGGUGCCUGUGUUGUUCCUGAUCUGAUCAGGCUUCAAACUACAAGGUGGAAUACUGGUUCCCCUAUAUCAGAAGCUGGAGAUACCCACCCCAUAUGCUCGUCUGGAUGUGCUCCUACCCUUUGAAGCCUUCUUCCGAGUCAAGUCCGAAUUGAUAAGGCUAGUGAGUUCCCAACCAACUGUACUCAGCAUGCUGCCAGGUGGAGACCCUCCAUAUUUGAUGGCUUCCUAAUAUUAAAAUGCUGACCACUGGUCUUCAUGUUCCACAGGCUUAAUUGUGUCCUUUGCUGAAAGAAUGGAUAGUGAUCCAUUUUAACACAUGAUUCACGCCGUCUUUGCCAUUCUUCAUGGUCUAGCCCUUUUAUAUAUAUGCUUCCUGAACUGUUGCUAUUAAUAAAAUGUGGUAUCUAUCCCGUACACCUUCCUGAUGGCCAGCGAAUGCAGAAGCUACAGAAACGGUUCCAUCUUUUGCUUCCGCCACUUUGGCAUCCUCCAUGAUGAGAUCGAAGGUGAAUAAUCAUAUUCUGGGGAUUUAUGUCCUGGAUAUUCUCAGUAAUGCCCAAUUUCCUGGUGCCGGCCUCAUUUCCAUGGGAACUGAUGGAUAACUUAAGGCUUCUACCAUCUGCGUGGUUCGCUUCUAACACAGGAAACUUCACGGCUAAAAGCAAGAUACCAAGAACAUCAAGGCUGUGACAAAAAUUAGUAUUUUUAACUUGUAGGAAUUUGAAAGGCAACCAACCAUCUAGCUCUGUUCUUAAAGCUCCCAUAGGAGGAUCAGAGGCUGGAUUGCUCAAGAUGAACUCAUCCAUUGUUGCACUUAAAAAGAAUUGGCAUGAAUUGUGGCCGCUCUAAUAGGUUCCCUAAACCAUCAUCCAAGUGGGCUUGCGGAAGGUAGCGAGUUUAAAACACCUAGGGCGAUGAACAGUGGACUGUGAUGCUCACAAAAGAGAAAAGGAAGAAUUCAAUAAUUCCUAAGAAUCCAUUUGCCUGUCAUCCAAAUUUUUAUAUUCUCUUCAGUCUGACGCGUUAUGCCAUAUAUUAAAAAUAGCGGCUUCUUCCAAGCCGAGACAGACUGUGCAAAGUUCGCAAGGCCAAUCAUCACCAUAAUCUGAAGUUGGCCUCCUCAAUCGCAGCUUGUAUCCGAAUGCUCACUUCACGGGAUGGAUUGUAAUGAAAACUAAUCUCAGUCCCAGCUAUGGCAGCAUCCUCACUUGACAGCAUUUUCUGCAUAUUCUAGAACAAAGCAAUAAACCCUCAAAGGCUCCUUCGGAUCAGAGUUAGAAGACUGUCCCUCAGGAACGUGAACACUAUGGUGGUUCUGAUAAGCAGUGAUAUUGCAUUAGAGCCUUUUGGAACAAGAGGAUCUUUUCAGGUGGAAACUGUAAACUGCUUCAUGUUGGGCUGCAACCUUUUCUUCAAGCAAUACUUUCUUUCUGUAUCACGACUUAUGUUGCUUCCGGAGCCAUCCCGUGUGGACUGCCCUUCAGUGAAAGAAUAUGUGUGUUGACAUGUUGGAUUGUAAUCUUUGUUCCACUCUAAUGGCUUUUGGUCCUCCUCUUUCUCUUUAUGACAGAGAACCAUUUAGUGAUCCAUCUCUAUAUUGUAGCAUUGCUGGUGCUUUGCAAUACUACACUCUCACCAAGCAUAACAUCUAUUUUUCCGUGACCAAAGUAUGUCGGUUUAUGCAUGCGCAAACUCUUAUUCAUUGGCAAGUUGUCAAGCGUAUCUCAUGAUUUCCCAAAGCCACAAGUUCUUAUGGUCUUUCUGUUCAAGCUUACAAUGAUCUAUCUUUUCUUGGUUAUACUGAUGUCGAUUGGGCUAGUUGCCCUGAUAACAAGCACAAUACUAGUGGGUACAACACUUUUCCUGGUCCUAAUCUCAUUUCAUGGGCAUUUUCAAAGCAGAAGGUUGUGUCUCACUCCAAUAACGAAUCUGAAUAUAGGGGACUCACUAAUUAAUGUUGUUGCCAAGGUCACUUGGAUUGAAUCUGUCUUACGUGAGUUGCGUGUUUCUCUACCCCAACCACCAAUUUUGUUGUGUGACAACAUUAGUGCUACACACUUGGACAAACCAUGUUGAAAUACACUAUCAUUUUAUCCAUGAAAGGCUUAUGCAUCACACACUCAAAAUUCAAUACACCUCUUCUAUAGACCAACUAGUCAAUGCUAUGACCAAAGCUCUUCCUUCAUCUCACUUGUACAAUCUUCAGUGCAAGCUGAUUGUUCUUCCCAAACCACUCAACUUGAGGGGAGAUGUUAAGCCAAUUUAAUAAAUUGAUUUCUUUUGGUUAAUUUGUUAGAAUCAUUUUUAUUAGAGGUUUGUUUGUACAAUUACAUCCAUUUAUCAGGAGAGUACACGUGUACAACUCCUCUUUUAAUCUCACCAUUGUAUAUAUAUGAUACACGACCUUACUCAGAAUUGCAUAACAUUUCCUCUGCUCAUUCCUUUUCUUCUUUGAAUUUUCCCUUACCUCACUGAUUUUGAUUUAUACCUGGUGUUUUCACCUUUGGUCUCUACCUUUCUAGCCAGUUUUCUAAUUAAUCCGUAUAUGGUAUACCUGUCAACUAAUGAGGAGAAAGAGAAAAGGGGAUUGCUGUUCCACCAGCUACAUAUAAUAAUUAAUUACAAUCAUGGUAAUGGAUCCUGAAAUCCAUCCUUUGUGGAUUUUGUACGGAAUAUUGUUGUUAUGUAUGUGGGCUCACUUAGAUGUAUAUUGCUAGCCUGUCUGGGAAAUGUGAUUGCAGGUCCAGAUUAUGAUGUUGAUAUUAGUGGGAUAAGCAAGAGAUGCAGUUAACACGUAUGUGAUGGACUUGAGUAACUUUUCCAUUUCAGUCCAUUUUUUAAGAUUAUGCUUAGUCUUAUUACAAGGAAAGACCAUAAGAAUCAUGAGUCAUUGGCAAGGUAAUAUCAUUCCCUCUUUACAGGCUUCUUCACCUUUUGGUUUUUUUAAUAUCCAUCAAGAUCUUUUAAUU